RNAcentral lists this ribosomal RNA (336 nucleotides) under uncultured bacterium. Its description in RNAcentral is "bacterial SSU rRNA". It matches the Rfam family "Bacterial small subunit ribosomal RNA", at positions 568 to 899 of the family's 1533-position model. The record is from RNAcentral.
UGCGUAGGCGGCUUGGUAAGUCACGUGUGAAAGGCCGGGGGCUCAACCCCCGGAUCUGCAUGUGAGACUGCCUGGCUGGAGCACGGUAGAGGCGGGCGGAAUUCCUGGUGUAGCGGUGGAAUGCGUAGAUAUCAGGAAGAACACCGGUGGCGAAGGCGGCUCGCUGGGCCGUUGCUGACGCUGAGGCACGAAAGCGUGGGGAGCAAACAGGAUUAGAUACCCUGGUAGUCCACGCCCUAAACGAUGGACACUAGGCGUCGGGGGGGAGCGACCCUCCCGGUGCCGUCGCUAACGCAAUAAGUGUCCCGCCUGGGGAGUACGGCCGCAAGGCUAGAA